CACCGCGGUUAUACGAGAGGCCCAAGUUGACAGAUAUCGGCGUAAAGAGUGGUUAAUAAAAUAGAAACUAAAGCUGAACACCUUCUAGACUGUUAUACGUCCCCGAAGGCAGGAAGACCUCCAACGAAAGUGGCUUUAACCCAAAUAUGACCCCACGAAAGCUAGGGCA
RNAcentral lists this ribosomal RNA (169 nucleotides) under Cabillus tongarevae (Tongareva goby). RNAcentral describes it as "partial small subunit ribosomal RNA". The record is from RNAcentral. Lineage: Eukaryota; Metazoa; Chordata; Actinopteri; Gobiiformes; Gobiidae. RNAcentral also lists the same sequence under 1 other name.